CCUACGGGGGGCAGCAGUGGGGAAUAUUGGGCAAUGGGCGCAAGCCUGACCCAGCAACGCCGCGUGAAGGAAGAAGGCUCUCGGGUUGUAAACUUCUUUUAUCAGGGACGAAGCAAGUGACGGUACCUGAUGAAUAAGCCACGGCUAACUACGUGCCAGCAGCCGCGGUAAUACGUAGGUGGCAAGCGUUAUCCGGAUUUACUGGGUGUAAAGGGCGUGUAGGCGGGAAGGCAAGUCAGAUGUGAAAACCAUGGGCUCAACCUGUGGCCUGCAUUUGAAACUGUUUUUCUUGAGUACUGGAGAGGCAGAUGGAAUUCCUGGUGUAGCGGUGAAAUGCGUAGAUAUUAGGAGGAACACCAGUGGCGAAGGCGGUCAGCUGGACAACAACUGACGCUGAGGCGCGAAAGCGUGGGGAGCAAACAGGAUUAGAUACCCGAGUAGUC
This 443-nucleotide ribosomal RNA is filed under the name uncultured bacterium. RNAcentral's name for it is "partial 16S ribosomal RNA". It matches the Rfam family "Bacterial small subunit ribosomal RNA", at positions 338 to 795 of the family's 1533-position model. The record is from RNAcentral.